AAGAGCUCAAAUUUUGAAUCUGGCGGUCGGCGAUCGUCCGAGUUGUAAUCUAGAGAAGCGUCUUCUGCGCUGGACCGUGUACAAGUCUCCUGGAAGGGGAGCAUCGCAGAGGGUGACAAUCCCGUCUUCGACACGGACUACCAGGGCUAUGUGAUGCGCUCUCGACGAGUCGAGUUGUUUGGGAAUGCAGCUCAAAUAGGGUGGUAAACUCCAUCUAAAGCUAAAUACGGGCGAGAGACCGAUAGCGAACAAGUACCGUGAGGGAAAGAUGAAAAGAACUUUGGAAAGAGAGUUAAACAGUACGUGAAAUUGCUGGAAGGGAAACGCUUGAAGUCAGUCGCGUCGGCCAGGGAUCAACCUUGCUUUUCGCUGGGCGUACUUCCUGGUCGACGGGUCAGCGUCGAUUUCGAUCGUCGUAGAAGGACGGGAGCGAACGUGGCACUCUCAGGAGUGUGUUAUAGCCUCUCGUAUGGAUGCGACGGUCGGGAUCGAGGAACUCGGCAUGGCCCGCUCGUGCGGGUUCGGGGGUUUCGCCCCACGUAGCAUGCCUAGGACGCUGGCGUAAUGUCUUUAAGCGACCCGUCUUGAAACACGGACCAAGGAGUCUAACAUGCCUGCGAGUGUUCGGGCGGAAAACCCGAGCGCGCAAUGAAAGUGAAAGUCGAGACCUUCGUCGUGGAGGGCACCGACGCCCGGACCCGAGCCUCUGGCAAAGGAUCUGCGGUAGAGCAUGUAUGUUGGGACCCGAAAGAUGGUGAACUAUGCCUGAAUAGGGCGAAGCCAGAGGAAACUCUGGUGGAGGCUCGUAGCGAUUCUGACGUGCC
RNAcentral lists this ribosomal RNA (824 nucleotides) under Diplocystis wrightii. RNAcentral's name for it is "eukaryotic LSU rRNA". It matches the Rfam family "Eukaryotic large subunit ribosomal RNA", at positions 103 to 895 of the family's 3401-position model. The record is from RNAcentral. Lineage: Eukaryota; Fungi; Basidiomycota; Agaricomycetes; Boletales; Diplocystaceae.